CCCGCGCAGUCACUCUCGCUCUCUCUCGCCUCCUCUCGCAAGGCAGAGCCGGUACCUUCAUGAAAGUCUCUACAGCGCCUUUGGCUAUGUCCAGAUAGGUGGUGCCCAGAUGGGUGCGCUGGUUCAUGGAGGCGGACGUGUCUAUCAGGAAGAAUGAUUGGUUGUGCUGUGUGCUUGACUUCUGCAGCAGCUAAUAAGUAACUCCUGAAUCCAGAGCAGCUUCUGAUUCCAAAGGUUGACAGAUACCACUUGAGCUCUCAUUUCAGAGUUAUCAGCACUUGGGGGAGGAAAAUUCUUGGGCAGGAUUGUACCAAAGAGAAGAAAAGUUACAAUUACGCCACAACAGAACACAUCGCUGUGCUUCCUGGCCAAAGCAUUUCUCCUCUUCUUGUACCAGAAGCAACAACUUCGCAGACAGGAGUACCUAAACACAGGGCUGACAGCAGAGCUGGGGAUCAUCCAGCUAGCUCAUCUCUGGGCCACCCUUUUCACCUGCAGGUUGGGGUUCUCUCCUGCUUGUCUGAACUGUCACUCAAGACGUGAUUACCUACUUUUUAGUUUGCAAAACUCAGAAGAAUCUUACCUUGAUAUGCCUAAAUAAAUAAAUAAGCAAAUAAAUAAAAUCCCCAAACCAACCAACCAACCAACCAACAAAACAGAAGAUGGAGCCAGAGAGCAGCUUUUAAAGCAAACUGCCUGAGAAGAUGGAAAUUCGGUUUGCUCCAAAUCAUAAGCUUCAAAGACUGCAGAUGAGGAACUAGAGAAAGUCUUCCAAGACUCUGGUGCAGCACGAGGACAUGGAAAGCGGCUCCACUGUCUGUGAAUGCACCAGUUCAAACUGCUUCUUCCCAGAGGUCUGUUGUCAUCCUGUACAUGAACCUGUGAGCCACUGUUACUGCUCAUAGGCAGGCAGCCUAAUUCUGCUCUAGCCAAAUCAAAGGAGUGAAAGUCAACCCACAUCAAGAAUGUACAAAACUAACACAGGGAAGGAUGUUUAUUUACCAUGGUGCCAAAAAGCAGUGUAAGAGAAAUGAUGCUAAGAAACAAAGAUAAGGUAAUAUUAAUUUGAGAUAAAGUAAGCUGAUUUUUUCAGCUCGUUUUUCACUCUGUGUUACUGAUGGAUAUACUCUUCUGGGAAAGUUCAAAUAAACCAAGCAUAACAUCCUAGUGACCACA
Long non-coding RNA from Strigops habroptila (Kakapo), 1176 nucleotides. RefSeq lists it as uncharacterized. The record is from RefSeq and is a predicted model, not a curated record. Lineage: Eukaryota; Metazoa; Chordata; Aves; Psittaciformes; Psittacidae. The transcript is spliced from 4 exons.